GCAAAACUGACGUCUCUCAGAGUGGAUCACUACCUAGACGCCAGCUGCGAGAUUUUCUGAGUGUUGAUUGUCAUCUGAUUGUGAGCUAACUACAGCCCAAAGGCUCUUUUAAGAGCCACAAGCACUGAGGAUCUUUGGCUUUCCAACCUCAACCAAGAUGUCGGUUGAGCAGGAGAUGACAUUGCCU
This is a long non-coding RNA of Carassius gibelio (silver crucian carp), 187 nucleotides long. RefSeq lists it as uncharacterized. NCBI's taxonomy places the organism in Eukaryota, Metazoa, Chordata, Actinopteri, Cypriniformes, Cyprinidae. The transcript is spliced from 4 exons. The record is from RefSeq and is a predicted model, not a curated record.